Molecule: ribosomal RNA, 497 nt
Filed under: uncultured bacterium
Lineage: Bacteria
Description: partial 16S ribosomal RNA
Rfam family: Bacterial small subunit ribosomal RNA
Source: RNAcentral
GAUGAACGCUGGCGGCGUGCCUAAUACAUGCAAGUCGAGCGAACGGACGAGAAGCUUGCUUCUCUGAUGUUAGCGGCGGACGGGUGAGUAACACGUGGAUAACCUACCUAUAAGACUGGGAUAACUUCGGGAAACCGGAGCUAAUACCGGAUAAUAUUUUGAACCGCAUGGUUCAAAAGUGAAAGACGGUCUUGCUGUCACUUAUAGAUGGAUCCGCGCUGCAUUAGCUAGUUGGUAAGGUAACGGCUUACCAAGGCGACGAUGCAUAGCCGACCUGAGAGGGUGAUCGGCCACACUGGAACUGAGACACGGUCCAGACUCCUACGGGAGGCAGCAGUAGGGAAUCUUCCGCAAUGGGCGAAAGCCUGACGGAGCAACGCCGCGUGAGUGAUGAAGGUCUUCGGAUCGUAAAGCUCUGUUAUUAGGGAAGAACAUAUGUGUAAGUAACUGUGCACAUCUUGACGGUACCUAAUCAGAAAGCAACGGCUAACUACGUG